GAAAUUUGGAAGUCAGACAUGGCAAGUUUUUCUAACUGUAAGAAGUGGACAAUAGCCUAUGAUCUACAGUGCCCAUUCCAACUCAGAGAAUCUUUACAUCUGGAGAUCUAUAGCAGGGCUAUCCCUAGUGACAUGCGUGAAGAAGCUUGGAAAUGGUGCUGGGUAGGAGCUGAGUGUGCAGAAUGUGGAAAGGCAUUCUAAACCAAAGGAAGAACACGAGUAAAGAUGAUGAAGCAGGGAUAAGGCUAAAAUGAAAUUUGUGAUCUGAUCCACAUACAAGCACAGUGUAGUACAGCUGGAAUAUAGAGAAGAGCUUGAAGACUUAUGAGCAACUAUCCCGGUACUCUUGGAGGCUCUGCAACCACAGUUUGAGAAACUCCGCGUUCAAAGUUAAAAACUGUCACCUGAAUAGUUAAUAACAUCAAAGAUUGUGAAAGCAAGUAUAAAUAACACAGAGAUUAAAAUAAUGAGGCAGGAUCAGAAAGUGAGUGUUGUAUUUAUCUAUUUUUUCCUGUAUCACUGAAACAAAAACAUAACAUUUCAAAAUUAUUGUGUAGAACUCCUCUCCUCU
Molecule: long non-coding RNA, 571 nt
Filed under: Pan troglodytes (chimpanzee)
Lineage: Eukaryota; Metazoa; Chordata; Mammalia; Primates; Hominidae
Description: long non-coding RNA NONPTRT012254
Source: RNAcentral